RNAcentral lists this long non-coding RNA (1824 nucleotides) under Ficedula albicollis (Collared flycatcher). Its description in RNAcentral is "lncRNA (ENSFALG00000025870.1)". Lineage: Eukaryota; Metazoa; Chordata; Aves; Passeriformes; Muscicapidae. The record is from RNAcentral.
GGGGGGGGGGGGGGGGGGGGGGGGGGGGGGGGGGGGGGGGGGGGGGGGGGGGGGGGGGGGGGGGGGGGGGGGGGGGGGGGGGGGGGGGGGGGGGGGGGGGGGGGGGGGGGGGGGGGGGGGGGGAGGGAGCGGCGCCGCCCACAGCGCCGCCCCUCGCCCGCGUCAGCGCUGCGGGGGCACCGCCCCGCCCGCCUGCAAGGGGCCGGCAGCGCGGCCGGCGCGGCCCCGGUUAAUGGGAUUGUAACAAUCCGGGGCGAUUACUGCAGAGCGGCCAUCGGGGCCAUUAACACGGCUGUGCUUGCCGCCAGGCGCCGCGGACCCGCCGUGAGGGGCGGGCGGCGCCCGGGGGGGGGGGGGGGGGGGGGGGGGGGGGGGGGGGGGGGGGGGGGGGGGGGGGGGGGGGGGGGGGGGGGGGGGGGGGGGGGGGGGGGGGGGGGGGGGGGGGGGGGGGGGGGGGGGGGGGGGGGGGGAGCUGGAGAAGCCCAGAGAGCCAAGGCACAGGAUGAGCUCUGCGGUGGAAGCUGUGUCCGACACCGAGAAUAAAAAGAUCUUCACCAAAACACUAACUGGAAAUGUCAUCUUCUGCAACAACAACACUUUUCUGGCAAAUAGGAAUGAACUCAAAGAACUCUGGAAAGUUAUGUCUAUAUUGUGAGUAUUAAUGAUGCUGUUUUCUAAGUCCUUUUAAAACUUACUAUUUUGUGAGAAAAAAAACAGCCUGCAAGCUGAAAUGGAGACCAAAGUACAACAGAGCCUCUCUACAGAAACUUGAGAAGUAAGAAAAAAGCAUGGAAAGACCCCUGAUCAACAUAUUGUAAAAAAGUAAUAAAAAAACUACAGUGCAAGGUGGAAAGAACGAAAUAAUUAUCAGUCUGUGACUGAAGAUAAAGGAGAAGACAAUUCUCCUUUGGAGGAGAAAAGGGAGAAAGCCACAUUGGCAAAGAGAAAUCUGUUUGGAAACAAUGGCACAGACUGACGCAUAACUUGGAACAUCCCUGACAACUCUUACUGAACCGUAGCAAACCUGAAAUCAUUCUGCAAACCCUGUCAAUAGCAAACUGAAAGACUUUACCCCUUCAUCCCUUCCCAAGAAAAUUAUACACUGAGGUCUUACUAAACAUAAAAACAGAAAUGCAGCAAAGUCCUAGUUAAUGUUAUCUUCAAAUAAAGACCUAUAAAUUAUAGAAUAUGCAGCAGAAAAGUCAUUAUGAACAUCUAGACUUGGGCCUUUCCCAGAGCCAUUCUGAGAAGCAAUUUUAAUUUUCCAUCUCACAGCCUCUUUAAGUUCAGCGAGUACAACGUGGUUUCUUUUUUUGCUGCUGAUGACGUAAGUUUGGAUAAUGGAGUUUAUUGUCAGCUCAGAUCAGAGUAAUUUUCUGAUAAUCAGAAUUAGCCUUAACUAUGAAAUCUACAAACGUACAAAUAUUUUGGGUCUCUCCAUGAAAGAAAACUCUGAAUUUAAAAUUUCCCAGCUGUUUUAUUUGCAUUAAAUCAUACCAGAUAGUCAUUAAAAAACCAACUCUAUGGUGACAAGACUAACAUUUUAAACUGGAGUCACAGAUACUAAAGUAAUGAAAGUGAGAUUUAUGACUGGCAGCUAAAAUGUUACUAAUCUUACAAGGAAAUAUUUUCUGUGACCUACCUUUUUUCUUCCUACUGCUUAAAGCACAACUCAGUUUCUAACAUGGAGGUAACCUGGCACAGUUAAAUAAAUGGUGCAGAAAAACUGUACCUGUCUGGUGUCAACAAAUGACAUGUGGAUAUUUAUUUUGAUUCUCUGACAGCCAUUUAUAACUCUCCUAAAUUAUGAGAAGUACAUGGGCU